GGUUUCCUGAGUGGUCGAUCCCUGAUGGUGCCGAGGAGCUGCAGAGAAAUGACCCACCCCACAGCUCUGCAACUUCCCCCGCGAGAUGCUCUUUCCUUUUGUGAAGGAAAACCGCUGUAGAAAUACCAGCAUGUCCUGCGGGAUGGGAAUUCUGUCUGACCAGCUCUGUUGGGGUGAAGAUCACUCUGGAGUUGUGUGCCAGCGUUCUCGAAGUGCUCUGCCGCUGGGAUCCCCAGAGGGAAAGUGACCGACCCUCCCAGAAUCCCGCUCAGCUCCAUCGCGCCUGCCUCUGCUCUGCCGUACCCUGCCCCAUGAGAGAGAAGAACAGGAGCCUUUAGGACCAGAUCGACCGCAUCACGGGGACACCAGGCCAGGUCCCCUCCCCAGCUCUUGUGACAUGUUCUCUCAAACACCAGGGGGCGCUGCUGUUCCCGGGCUGGGGGAGGGGACAGUUCCUUUUCCUAUGGAGCUGGGCCCAAACCCUCCCACAUCAUGGUGUCCAGCGCCUCGUGGCCGGGACCUUCAGCCCUGGGGCUGUGACUGGGCUAUUGCCGAGGGAGGGGCCACUUGUCAGAUUUGGAUCCGGGUCUGGCUUUUGAAUGCAUCAGCUAUUGGGGGGUAGAGAUCUGGGAGCAGCAGGAGGCUCUGACCCUUUGAUGUGGAGCAGCCACUAGAUGGGGACAAAGGCCCUCCCUGUCUGGAGUGGGUUGCAGCUGUUACAGGGGUUUUUCUGCAGAGCCUCACGGGAGGCUGUUGAUCUCAUUACAGCCCAUUGAAGGCUGAUGCUGUCUAUCAGAUGUCCACACUGUGACGAAGUGGGACCGUUCUUAAUGUUUCCUCUGAAUAGUGUGGGGGUGCCUCAGUUUCCCCUAGGCAGUUCUUAAGUAUCUAGGGGGUGGAGUAAGGGUGUAUGAUCAUUGCAGAGCCCUAGAGGGCAGGUGUGUGCAGGAGUCUGGACACAGAGAAUGGCCGACACCCUGUUUCCUGGCAACUGAUGGCCUGGGCCCUUCCCCCCUGCAAGGUGAGAGCUAAAGGGUUGGAGAACAAAGGAAUCAGGUGACCACCUGGCCCGGGAAAGGAACAAAGCCCAGAGGAGGAGGGGCUGGAGGGGGUUUUCAGUUUGGGGCUGGCUGGGACAUGGAGUGAAGUGCAGACGUGGUUGUC
Molecule: long non-coding RNA, 1164 nt
Organism: Caretta caretta (loggerhead turtle)
Lineage: Eukaryota; Metazoa; Chordata; Testudines; Cheloniidae
Source: RefSeq, a predicted model, not a curated record